GUAGGUGAACCUGCGGAAGGAUCAUUAAUGAAUUACAAGUCGGCCGUCUGUGCUGGUGGCAACACAUGUGCACGUCAGUCGCAAAUCCACACACCUGUGCACUUUAGACUUUGGGGUUCGCAUUCACAUGCAGUCGGUCUCCUUUGGGAGGCUUGAAUCCCAGGGUAUUUUACACACACUCUGAAUGUAAUGGAAUGUACCUGUGCUUAACCGCGCAUUUAAUACAACUUUCAACAACGGAUCUCUUGGCUCUCGCAUCGAUGAAGAACGCAGCGAAAUGCGAUAAGUAAUGUGAAUUGCAGAAUUCAGUGAAUCAUCGAAUCUUUGAACGCACCUUGCACCCUUUGGUAUUCCGAAGGGUACACCCGUUUGAGUGUCAUUGUAAUCUCACACCCUCAGACUUUUGUCAAAGGGAAGUGGACUUGGAUGUUGUCGUGUCACUACGACUCGUCUCAAAUGCAUGAGUGUACCCUGCGUCCGCAGCGUAUUCGGUGUGAUAAGCAUCUUCACCGGAGUAGUGCCCUCGGGCUCGCGCUUGCAAAUGUUGGGCUCUGCACUUCAAACCGUCUUCGGACAACAACUGACRAUUUGACCUCAAAUCGGGUGGGACUACCCGCUGAACUUAAGCAUAUCAAUAAGCGGAGGAAAAGAAACUAACAAGGAUUCCCCUAGUAACGGCGAGUGAAGAGGGAAAAGCUCAAAUUUUGAAUCUGGCGUCUUUGGCGUCCGAGUUGUAAUCUAGAGAAGUGUUUUCUGUGUUGGACCGUGCAAAAGUUCCCUGGAACGGGGCGUCAUAGAGGGUGAGAAUCCCGUAUAUGGCACGGACUCCCGAUGCUCUACGAUACACUCUCGACGAGUCGAGUUGUUUGGGAAUGCAGCUCAAAAUGGGUGGUAAAUUCCAUCUAAAGCUAAAUAUUGGCGAGAGACCGAUAGCGAACAAGUACCGUGAGGGAAAGAUGAAAAGCACUUUGGAAAGAGAGUGAAACAGUACGUGAAAUUGUUGGAAGGGAAGCGUUUGAAGUCAGUCGCGCUCGUCGGAACUCAGCCUGGCUUCUGCCUGGCGUACUUUCUGGCGAGCGGGUCAGCGUCAGUUUUGGUCGAGGGAGAAAGGCAUUGGGAAUGUGGCAGUCUUCGGGCUGUGUUAUAGCCCUUUGUUGUAUGCCUCGACUGGGAUUGAGGACUGCAGCGCGCC
This 1192-nucleotide ribosomal RNA is filed under the name uncultured Sebacina. RNAcentral's name for it is "eukaryotic LSU rRNA". The stretch from base 590 to 1192 matches the Rfam family "Eukaryotic large subunit ribosomal RNA", at positions 1 to 606 of the family's 3401-position model. Lineage: Eukaryota; Fungi; Basidiomycota; Agaricomycetes; Sebacinales; Sebacinaceae. The record is from RNAcentral.